Molecule: long non-coding RNA, 1461 nt
Organism: Papaver somniferum (opium poppy)
Lineage: Eukaryota; Viridiplantae; Streptophyta; Magnoliopsida; Ranunculales; Papaveraceae
Exons: 2
Source: RefSeq, a predicted model, not a curated record
UCUAAAUUUGAUUACAGAAUCGAGAGAUAUCAUGAUGGUAAACAAAUUGGAUCAGGUUCAUUCAGUUUCGUAUGGCAUGGAAGACAUCGCGUUCACAGUCAGGAAGUUGCUAUCAAAGAAAUCAUUAUGGAUCGAUUAUUUAAGAAACUACAUGACAGUCUUGUUUCAAUUCAAUUCCCCCCUUUUUUUUACUUGAAAUUCCCAAUUCGAAUAUUUUGUGGAUGCAUGAAUGAAUUGAUCAUCAGACACUGUGAUUAAAGUACAAGUAAUAAUCCUGAUUGAAAUAUUGCAAAUUGGUGGUUGGACUAAAUUACUUUCAGUAACCUUGAUUUUUUCAAGCAUAAGAAGAAGCAUUGUGUUGAUUACCUUGAAGAAGUUAGAUAGAGUUGUUCUAAGAUGAAUAACUACUAGUCUAAUUCACAAAAUUGAUGCUUGAUUUCUGCAAUUUAGGUCCAAGGGAGGUGAUCCCUCUAUGCAUAUCCAGCGCAAAAGGGAAAGUCGAUGAAGAAACAACAAAACACUUCAUCCAGCAACUGGGUAUUAAGGACUUCCAACAACUACCCUCUAUUUAGUCUUCCACUCCAUUCCAGUAGCACUUCUUCUUCAACAUUUUUGAAGAUAUGUGCAUAGUUCUUCAGUCGGUCCUAAAAGUAUAUUGAAUUCCUCUUUUACACGGUCCCAUAAUAUAAAUUGGGUACCUCUUUAACAAGGUCGCAUAAUAUAAAUUGGGUAUCUUUUCAACACUCUUGCAUAAUAUAAGUUUGGUACCUUUUUUUUUUGAAGUUGAAAAUAUUUAUUUAAAUUUAAAAGAGCUUAGAAGACAGACUCUUUGACGAUGUAUAGCAUUUUUGUUCAAUAAGAUAUACCUGUUUUUCCAAUGCUCAGGCUUUGAUGACAGUUAAGAUGUAGGUCUUAAUAGGAGUUGCCUCCAUAAUUCUGAUCAGGCGUGUUCUACAUUCUCGGGAAAGUCUACUUUUCUUACAAAAAUCUUGAUGUUUGAUUUCCUUUUCUUUCUCUAUUUUGAUCUAACAGCUAGUUUUUCAUUGUUGCUGCAUGAGAAGAAUUGUCUGGUAAGUCUGCAACUGUUGCUGCAAAGGCUGAGAAGGUUAGAAUUAUUUCAUCAAAUGUUUAGAAAUCUAUCCUACUUGCUUGACCUGGUGCCUUGUGUAUUUCUUUUCACUUGAUGAUUAAGCACUCAGUUGAGCUAGAAAAACAAAGCACCACUGAUAAAUCUAAAACUUUUUGCUUGAGGUUUUAAAGCCUAUUUUCCAUCCCGAAGGUAUAAAACUGCUUAUCCGCGAUUUUGGGUACUGCCAUGCCGGAGUAUAUCAUGUCAUUCUGGUACCUCAAACCAUGAACGAGAACUAUGGUGUAUAUAUUGUUUUAAGAAACCAAGUUGACUGGAAUGUAAAUGCAAGUAUUUGAUGAAUCACAUUCAUACGUAAACUACUUGUUGCUUUU